This is a long non-coding RNA of Solanum stenotomum, 1245 nucleotides long. RefSeq lists it as uncharacterized. NCBI's taxonomy places the organism in Eukaryota, Viridiplantae, Streptophyta, Magnoliopsida, Solanales, Solanaceae. The record is from RefSeq and is a predicted model, not a curated record. The transcript has 6 exons.
AGACAGAAAGCCCAACGAAGCAUUAUGUCCAAGUGGAAGAGCUGCCAGAACUGAUCUUUUAUGAUCAGGCAACCAUGUACAUCCAAGAUUGUAAGCAUUAAGAAGAACAUUUCUACUUGCAAGAGUAAUGUUGUUCUGCCAAGCAGCAAAACCUGUUUCUAUUCAAAGAAGUGAGGCAGUUCUGCCUAAGAUCACUGCCAUUCAUGUUCCUGCAACUUUCAGCAUGGUCAUUUCUCCAUCUCACUCAGAUGAAUCAUUAGUCUCCAUAGAUGAAUCUAUGUCAACUUCUGACACAGUGAGAACUCCGGAGGUCGAAUACAUAGAUGACAUGAAUUGGCUGCAGUUGAUUCCAUCGAGGAGAAGGCGUGUAGCACCCUCUACAUCUCAGAACAUGUCAAAGCAGCAGCAGUUAUAUGCAAGAGAGAUUUACUUGUGGACUUGGAAUCAGGGGAUAAAAUUGUCAGCGUUGAUAAAUUAUGCGCUACAAUGGGCCCGCGAGGAAGGAGAGCAAGGGCAGUUGCCUAUCUUGGUACUAAGCAUGAAGAAAACUGAUAAGAAAAAGAGGCCAGCUAUUUGUCUUCCUGCAUAGUACAAACAAAUGUAAAGAGUGGUUACGGCCAUUACUAUAGGCAUAUGCUUCGAGGGGUUACAUAGCUGUAGCAAUUGAUUCUCGAUACCAUGGACACCAAUAUGACAACAUAUCGUGAUGUAAGAACAGAAUUGUGGUUGCAAAUUUUAAAACAUUAUAGAGCAUGAUGGAUGUUGUCAAUAACAUAGUUGUUUCUGGAAAUGGGUUGGUUGGAAAUGGAGUUCACCAACGUCCAGAAGUUGUUGCUGGCAUACCCAAUGGGAUGCCUCAUGUAAGUUCCACUAAUGAAGAACAAAGGAGUUUCCAGAGCACUGUCAUACUGACUGAUAGUGAAACAGUUCGAUCUUAUGUCCAAGAGGUCAAUAAUGAAACUACAAUUACUGUAGAAAGCAAUGCUAGUGUCAGUUCCAAGGUAAGGGAGUUUUUCCUGAGUUUUUACUUACUAAGGACAAGCCCAAAGAUUGAGGCUAAUGCGAGGAGGAAAAUCCUGACAUAGAUUAGAUAUGAGGAAGAAUACUAAUGAAACCUUUAAUGGGCUCGGUUUAUCACUAGUGCUAAUGGUCUUCUUGCCAAAACAUUAUAUUGUAUAUAGGUGAAAUAUCAUUUUAUUUGUACACUUGUUCAAUCCCCUGCACACUUGCUAGAUAGCAUGAAAA